Molecule: ribosomal RNA, 254 nt
Filed under: uncultured bacterium
Lineage: Bacteria
Description: partial 16S ribosomal RNA
Rfam family: Bacterial small subunit ribosomal RNA
Source: RNAcentral
UACGAAGGGGGCUAGCGUUGUUCGGAAUUACUGGGCGUAAAGGGUGCGUAGGUGGCGUGGUAAGUCUGGUGUGAAAUCCCCGGGGCUCAACCCCGGAACUGCACUGGAUACUGCCAUGCUUGAGUACUGGAGAGGAGAUUGGAAUUUACGGUGUAGCAGUGAAAUGCGUAGAUAUCGUAAGGAAGACCAGUGGCGAAGGCGAAUCUCUGGACAGUUCCUGACACUGAGGCACGAAGGCCAGGGGAGCAAACGGG